Long non-coding RNA from Syngnathus acus (greater pipefish), 1956 nucleotides. RefSeq lists it as uncharacterized. The record is from RefSeq and is a predicted model, not a curated record. NCBI's taxonomy places the organism in Eukaryota, Metazoa, Chordata, Actinopteri, Syngnathiformes, Syngnathidae. The transcript is spliced from 3 exons.
AAAGUUUCACCGGAAAGAUUCUGACGAAACGAGAAAAGUGAAAUUCUCCGAAGAAGAAAAAAAGAGCAGACAUGGAGCGAGAGCACGCACGUCACAGUGGCUCACGACUUGACCUUUAAACAUCCUGCUUCCUCUACCACGAUGCGAGUAAGACACCUCGAAAUCAAAGCUCAUAUCACUAUCAUACAUCCAAUUGAUCACUUUCGUAAGAAAUACUUUGCGCCCGAAGCAUUUACAUUUGAAACAUUUUAGACCACACGGCUCCAACAUCAGCCCUGGUAAACGGCCAGAACAAAUGUAGAAAAGAAAGAGAAAAUGACAGCAGAUGGUCGAUUGUCAGGGCAGUCAGUACUUUUGGACAGACACGCCGCUGGCGGUCUGGUCUCAACCAAUUCCUCCCUCCCUCCCUCCCUCCCUCGGGGGGGGGGGGGGGGGGGGACUUUAAAAGCUCUUUAAUGCUAUUGUACACAGGCAUCUGACACAAAUGACAGUGUGCUGCGUUAUAUAAUCACAGUUUAGAGAGAAGAGAAGUCCGCAUGAAGAGGAUGUAGGCCAAGAUAAGCAUUGCAACCUCUCUGAUUUAAUCCACUCCAAAAUAUAUUGCAAUCCAUUUUGGAUUGGGAACAAAUACAUUCUGUAAUUCCUAUUCGGAGCCAACCUGCUGCAUUUUGGCCCAAUUGGAUGGAUGUCACGCUGAUGGAGCUUUCCAGGGGAAAGAAAUGAAUUGUCAAGAUCAAAAGACACGACUUGGAAAUUGAAAUGAAACACUGACGGAAAAUGAUGCAAACCACACCGCUGUGUAUUUUGCGCAAAAUUCCCAAUAAAAGUCAAACGCAUCCUGUUUGUUUGCUUCUUAAAUGUCACUGUGGCAGCAGCUGCUGCUUCCUGUCGAUGCAGAGAGUUGGUGUGAGAUUACAACCGUCACGUUAUUUUACCGAUACAAUAUUGCACAACUAUUGGAAGUAAGUUCCAGUGUUCAAGUGCAGCCCAACAUUGAAUUCACUACAUCAUGAUAAGAACUAUGUCGCCAUGGUCCUAUUUUGUGUCAUAAUACAGUGCCUUGCAAUGUUGGGAAAUACUACAAAUGACUAGCGCCCCUUAUUCGGGUGAACAUCAUCAUCCCUUGCCUGCUCUGCAUGUUACCAAAAAUAGAACGCUGCACAAGUAGAACACCGACGCGGGAUAGAAAUAGAAUAAAAGAGAAAAAGAGACAGAAUGUGAUAGAUAAUAUUGCCACAUGGGAGAAGACCAGCGGGUUACAAAGCCUUCUAAAAGUGUCUUCACUCAGCUAUACUGUUCACUCAAGUCAAACGGUGCAUGCAAAGGGCCUUCGCAUCGGUCCGACCAAAUUCCAACAAUGUCCCGGCUAGUUCUGCCCAAACCAUAUCGUCGUCAUACACGACGGAGCGUGAAUUUAUGUUCAUGCUUAUUCUGGUUAUGAGAAUAUUAUUUUGUGCAGCAGCAUAAUCAUACACGAUGGCACGCUUGCUCUCAUUGGCUUCACGUUCCAGUGCAAUCACGGACAGAAUACAAACGGCGAAGCAACACAUGCAGACAGACAAUAUAACAGUGCUCACCGCUGCAUCGUUUGGAUCCUCCAUACGGGAAAUCUACGGGGAGCGGAAACAUCUGAAUGAACAGUGGCUCUCUUUGACACUGUCUGCAGAUGGCGAGCAAGCACAUAGAGCAGCGCUAUGACAAUUCACUUGCUGCACUAUGACCAAAAACUGUCAAGACUCGAUGCUCCCUAUAAAGUAUUUUAUUAGGAGUGAUGUUUUUCGGGUCAUCACUGAAUGCAUUUCUACAAUGUGUGCAAUUUAAGACGUCUUAGUAGUAAGCUAGUAAACAUGUCACUGUUGCUUAAGCGCUUCAACUCAAUUCCUUCGACACACUGAUUUUCAAACACAUAAAUAAAGGUACUCGCAGUUUGAUUGUGCCAGGGCACCUGCCCAAACU